This 79-nucleotide ribosomal RNA is filed under the name Actinomycetota bacterium. Its description in RNAcentral is "Actinobacteria bacterium partial 16S ribosomal RNA". It matches the Rfam family "Bacterial small subunit ribosomal RNA", at positions 1 to 78 of the family's 1533-position model. The record is from RNAcentral. Lineage: Bacteria; Bacillati; Actinomycetota.
UUCAAUGGAGAGUUUGAUCCUGGCUCAGGACGAACGCUGGCGGCGUGCUUAACACAUGCAAGUCGAACGAUGAAGUUCC